This 265-nucleotide signal recognition particle RNA is filed under the name Lysobacteraceae bacterium. RNAcentral's name for it is "Xanthomonadaceae bacterium signal recognition particle sRNA large type". It matches the Rfam family "Bacterial large signal recognition particle RNA". From Rfam's summary of the family: The signal recognition particle (SRP) is a universally conserved ribonucleoprotein involved in the co-translational targeting of proteins to membranes. Lineage: Bacteria; Pseudomonadati; Pseudomonadota; Gammaproteobacteria; Lysobacterales; Lysobacteraceae. The record is from RNAcentral.
UCGUGCUAGGCGGGGAGCUAGCGGUGCCCUGUACCCGCGAUCCGCUUUAGCGGGGCUGAACUCCCUCCCGAGGCCGGCCCACCGCGGGUCCUGCUGGCGGUCAAGGCGUUGACGGCCGGGUCCUGUGCAGCAGCGGACCGCGAACCCCGUCAGAUCCGGAAGGAAGCAGCGGUAAGCGGGUCACCGCUGAGUGCCGCAGGGACACCUGGCUCGAGCUGAGGUCACCGGCGUGUUCGCUGUGGUCCGUUCGACGGAGGGUGCACGG